Molecule: ribosomal RNA, 254 nt
Filed under: uncultured bacterium
Lineage: Bacteria
Description: partial 16S ribosomal RNA
Rfam family: Bacterial small subunit ribosomal RNA
Source: RNAcentral
UACAGAGGUGGCAAGCGUUGUUCGGAAUUACUGGGCGUAAAGGGCGAGUAGGUGGCCAUCUAAGUCAGACGUGAAAUCCCCCGGCUUAACCUGGGAACUGCGUCUGAUACUGGACGGCUUGAGUAUGGGAGAGGAACGUAGAAUUCCAGGUGUAGCGGUGAAAUGCGUAGAUAUCAGGAGGAACACCGGUGGCGAAGGCGGGUCUCUGGGCCGAUACUGACGCUGGAGGAGCGAAAGCGUGGGGAGCGAACAGG